GACGAACGCUGGCGGCGUGCUUAACACAUGCAAGUCGAACGAAGUGGCGAACGGGUGAGUAACGCGUAAUCAACCUGCCCUUCAGAGGGGGACAACAGUUGGAAACGACUGCUAAUACCGCAUACUGAAGGCGGGGCUUGCGUCUGAUUAGCUAGUUGGAGGGGUAAAGGCCCACCAAGGCGAUGAUCAGUAGCCGGGCUGAGAGGAUGAACGGCCAAAGUGGGACUGAGACACGGCCCAGACUCCCACGGGAGGCAGCAGUGGGGAAUCUUACGCAAUGGACGAAAGUCUGACGGGGCAACGCCGCGUGAGUGAUGACGGCCUUCGGGUUGUAAAGCUCUGUUAAUCGGGACGCGGUACCGGAAUAGAAAGCCACGGCUAACUACGUGCCAGCAGCCGCGGUAAUUC
RNAcentral lists this ribosomal RNA (408 nucleotides) under uncultured bacterium. RNAcentral describes it as "partial 16S ribosomal RNA". It matches the Rfam family "Bacterial small subunit ribosomal RNA", at positions 28 to 526 of the family's 1533-position model. The record is from RNAcentral.